UACGGGGGGGGCAAGCGUUGUUCGGAAUUACUGGGCGUAAAGGGCGCGUAGGCGGCCUGCUAAGUCGGAUGUGAAAUCCCUCGGCUCAACCGAGGAACUGCAUCCGAUACUGGCGGGCUUGAAUCCGGGAGAGGGAUGUGGAAUUCCAGGUGUAGCGGUGAAAUGCGUAGAUAUCUGGAGGAACACCGGUGGCGAAGGCGGCGACCUGGGCCAAUACUGACACUGAGGUGCGAAAGCGUGGGGAGCAAACAGG
Molecule: ribosomal RNA, 253 nt
Filed under: uncultured bacterium
Lineage: Bacteria
Description: partial 16S ribosomal RNA
Rfam family: Bacterial small subunit ribosomal RNA
Source: RNAcentral